GAGACAGGUUAGAGGAGAGACAGGUUAGAGGAGAGGAGAGACAGGUUAGAGGAGAGGAGAGACAGGUUAGAGGAGAGGAGAGACAGGUUAGAGGAGAGGAGAGACAGGUUAGAGGAGAGGAGAGACAGGUUAGAGGAGAGGAGAGACAGGUUAGAGGAGAGGAGAGACAGGUUAGAGGAGAGACAGGUUAGAGGAGAGGAGAGACAGGUUAGAGGAGAGACAGGUUAGAGGAGAGGAGAGACAGGUUAGAGGAGAGGAGAGACAGGUUAGAGGAGAGGAGAGACAGGUUAGAGGAGAGGAGAGACAGGUUAGAGGAGAGACAGGUUAGAGGAGAGGAGAGACAGGUUGGAGGAGAGCCGUCGUUUGACCACUCCAGGUGUGUGUGUUGAGGUGGCAGAAGAUCACCUAGAUUAGUGUGUGUGUUGAGGAGGUGGUAGAUUUAUAGAGCCAAUUAAAGGCAAGGUCACCCCCUAGUAUAGCUUUAAUAUUAAUGCUC
Long non-coding RNA from Oncorhynchus tshawytscha (Chinook salmon), 496 nucleotides. Lineage: Eukaryota; Metazoa; Chordata; Actinopteri; Salmoniformes; Salmonidae. The record is from Ensembl.